Molecule: ribosomal RNA, 481 nt
Filed under: uncultured bacterium
Lineage: Bacteria
Description: bacterial SSU rRNA
Rfam family: Bacterial small subunit ribosomal RNA
Source: RNAcentral
UAGUCCACGCCGUAAACGAUGAAUGCUCGCCGAUGGAUUCGUUCAGACUUCAUUGGCAAAGCUAACGCAUUAAGCAUUCCGCCUGGGGAGUACGGUCGCAAGACUAAAACUCAAAGGAAUUGACGGGGGGCCCGCACAAGCGGUGGAGCAUGUGGUUUAAUUCGAUGCAACGCGCAGAACCUUACCCGGGCUUGACAUCCUUCAAACUUUGCUGAAAGGCAUUGGUGCCAUCGUAAGAUGGAAUGAAGAGACAGGUGCUGCAUGGCUGUCGUCAGCUCGUGCCGUGAGGUGUUCGGUUAAGUCCGGCAACGAGCGCAACCCCUGUCGCUAGUUACCAGCAUUUAGUUGGGGACUCUAGCGAGACUGCCGGUGAUAAACUGGAGGAAGGUGUGGGAUGACGUCAAGUCUUCAUGGGCCCUUACGGGGUUGGGGCUACACACGUGCUACAAUGGGCAUCUACAGUGGGGUUAAUCCCCAAAAG